UGGGGAAUAUUGGACAAUGGGCGCAAGCCUGAUCCAGCCAUGCCGCGUGAGUGAUGAAGGCCCUAGGGUUGUAAAGCUCUUUCGCCAGGGACGAUAAUGACGGUACCUGGAUAAGAAGCCCCGGCUAACUUCGUGCCAGCAGCCGCGGUAAUACGAAGGGGGCUAGCGUUGUUCGGAAUCACUGGGCGUAAAGCGCACGUAGGCGGAUCUUUAAGUCAGGGGUGAAAUCCCGAGGCUCAACCUCGGAACUGCCUUUGAUACUGGAGGUCUCGAGUCCGGGAGAGGUGAGUGGAACUGCGAGUGUAGAGGUGAAAUUCGUAGAUAUUCGCAAGAACACCAGUGGCGAAGGCGGCUCACUGGCCCGGUACUGACGCUGAGGUGCGGAAGCGUGGGGAGCAAAACAGGAUUAGAUACCCUGGUAGUCCACGCCGUAAACUAUGGAUGCUAGCCGUUGGGCAGCUUGCUGUUCAGUGGCGCAGCUAACGCUUUAAGCAUCCCGCCUGGGGAGUACGGUCGCAAGAUUAAAACUCAAAGGAAUUGACGGGGUCAUAGCUGUUUCCU
Molecule: ribosomal RNA, 561 nt
Filed under: uncultured bacterium
Lineage: Bacteria
Description: partial 16S ribosomal RNA
Rfam family: Bacterial small subunit ribosomal RNA
Source: RNAcentral